UACGUAGGGGGCAAGCGUUGUCCGGAAUCAUUGGGCGUAAAGCGCGUGUAGGCGGCCAGAAAAGUCCGCUGUGAAAACUCGAGGCUCAACUUCGAGCUGUCGGUGGAAACUUUCUGGCUAGAGUCCGGAAGAGGAGAAUGGAAUUCCUGGUGUAGCGGUGAAAUGCGCAGAUAUCAGGAGGAACACCGAUGGCGAAGGCAGGUCUCUGGGCCAUAACUGACGCUGAGAAGCGAAAGCAUGGGGAGCGAACAGG
This 253-nucleotide ribosomal RNA is filed under the name uncultured bacterium. RNAcentral describes it as "partial 16S ribosomal RNA". It matches the Rfam family "Bacterial small subunit ribosomal RNA", at positions 524 to 776 of the family's 1533-position model. The record is from RNAcentral.